AAUCAACGCUGGCGGCGUGCCUAACACAUGCAAGUCGAACGAGAAGGUGACUUCGGUCACUGGAUAGUGGCGUCCGGGUGAGUAACACGUAGGUAAUCUACCUUCGGGUGGGGAAUAACGUCUCGAAGAGACGCUAAUACCGCAUAAUGCAGCGGCACCUAAUGGUGAUUAGUUGUUAAAGCGGGGGAGUCUUCGGACCUCGCGCCUGAAGAGGAGCCUGCGGCAGAUUAGCUAGUUGGUGAGGUAAUGGCUCACCAAGGCUUCGAUCUGUAGCUGGUCUGAGAGGACGGCCAGCCACACUGGCACUGACACACGGGCCAGACUCCUACGGGAGGCAGCAGUAAGGAAUAUUGCGCAAUGGG
This 362-nucleotide ribosomal RNA is filed under the name uncultured bacterium. Its description in RNAcentral is "bacterial SSU rRNA". It matches the Rfam family "Bacterial small subunit ribosomal RNA", at positions 32 to 375 of the family's 1533-position model. The record is from RNAcentral.